AUAAUUAUUCUGCAGUAAAUGUGUUUACACCAAUGGCAGGAACAUGGAACGACACGGUGACCAGCAGACAUCCAAAUUUAGAACUGCGCCUCCAGCAAAUAAAGUGACACAGGAAAAGCUCUGGCAGAUGUCCCAGAAGUCAGAGGAGUCCAAGAAGUCAGGCAAAGGAGUGACUGUCACAGACAGCAUCCCAGCAUCCAUUAGAGUGACUACUGACAGACAUGAUGGCAGUAUGGUUAACCCUGACAUUCUGAGGCAGCAGCUGUUGGCUGGUGGCCAGCAAAGGCCAUUGUCUGUUUCACCAGACAGACAGCCAGUGACAGUGCAUGAUCGCAAAGGGUCCAACUUGGCACUUCCCAUGCGGAUUAAAGAGCAUUUGAUGGCUGCAGCAAGCAGAGACAAAGUCCCUAGUCCCUCAAAAGAUCAGGCGGUGUCACACACAACUAAAAGCUCCUCACUAAGCCGUGACAUUUCUCCUUCACGCAUCACAGCACAGGUGGUAUCGGCCAUGUCUGAAAGUGCACAGCAGACUUUGUUGUUCUCCGCCCUAACAGGUCAGAUGUCUGCACCUCCAUUGAUUGGCACUGGUGGCAGACAGGAUACACAGCACGAUGCACGACUAUUGGGAAGCAGACUCUUAGAAGUUUCAGGGCACCAGAGUGCCUCUCAAGGAGCUGACUUCAGACGAUCACCCCUACAGUCAGAAAAUCGCCCACAGACUGAAAGGAAAGAUGCAGUGCUGCAAAUGGGAAAGCCAGGAUAUCCAUUUGAACAUUUGGCAAGAGCAAUUGCAUCAAAAGAACUGUCUACAGCGAUAAACAGUAGAGACCGAAGUCUAGGGAACAAGGAUGUUGCUCAGUCUAAUAAUGUGGUUUUGCCAGGUUCUAAAAGGAGGAGUCCAGGCCCUUCACACCACUUACCUGGAUACUCAACUUCUAGUGGCAACCAACAGCAGAUGGAAACACAGGUGCGGACGCCUUCCCCAAAACCUGUUGCUAAAACCCAUUCACCACAGCAGCAAGUAAAUCAUCCAACCCAGAGGAGGUCUCCAGUCAGUCCAGCAUCCAGAGUUUCACCCUCCAAAAGUCUUCAGGAGAAAGUACCAAAUUUAUCAGUUGGUCUUGCAGAAGGACACACUGUGCAGAUCCCAAUGCCACCUUUUGACCUGCUGUCCCAGCAUCUCCUAGCAGGGGCCAUGGUGACAACUAGCAUAUCAAACAGCGUCAACUCGCAGCCUGCUCGUUCCCCAUUGCCAACGCUGACCUCUCGUCUGGUGCAGUUGCCUCCAGUGUCAGUCACACUGACUGGGCAUUCUAGCUCACAGCUGAGCACAAAUCGUCCUGUUAAGCCAUCUACGAUUCCUGUGGCGUCUCCUCAAACCCUCUCGCGCAAGGUACCUGCAAUUUCAGGAUUGGGUCACCAUGCUAUUUCUGUGGGAACUGAGACAGAAGCAAAGCAGUUCAGUAGCCAUGGAGCACAGACCAAGCCUGUGGCUGUCAGUGUUGAGAAUGUUUCAGGGUCUGUACUGCCCCAGGUCUUUCAGUUUAAGUCUGUGGUAAGUAAAGGGGCUAAUAGUGCAUCAAGUGAUAAUGUGAAAGAAGUUGACAGCAGAUCUGAAAAUGCCGGCAUGUCUCAGAUUGCUGUACAAAAUUCCUUGGCUCAGGGGACCUCAGACAGUCUAUUACGUGUCAGCCCCAUCAGUAGUGGUUCAAUGCUAGUGAUGAAUGCUUCUGACCUGGGAAAUUCUGGGAUGCCAGGCCAGCUUGUGGAUUUACCGGGCAGUAUCUCCAUUGUGUCUAGUUCUGUGUCUGACUUUGGCAAAGGGAACCAACUUUCAAAUGCAGAGCACAAAAGGUACAGUCCUUCACCUACUCCUGCCCACGGUAACACCCCAAUUCCAGUGCCGUCAAGUCAUAUGCAUGCACACACACAUCUGCAUUUUCCCCAUCCUAAUCCCAAAGCUCCUAUCACCACACCCCAGGUUGGUGGUGAAGGCCUGGCAGCUGCUGCCACAGUGGCACCAUUGCUGCAGCCAGUGGUGAGCCUUUGUCGGUUGUCGACCAGCACCAUGCAGCCUCUUACGGUCCGAGUGAAGCCAGAGACAAAGACGGUGACUUCCGUGACAUCGGUGUCUCACUCUAGUCAUUACCAGCCUCACUACCACCAUCAGCAGCCAGUUCAGACUGUCACAAGUCAGACUUCAGAGACAGGCCCAGUGGUUAAAGACUUCAUACCUGUCACAGGGUCUCCUGAGCCACCAGUGUACCAUAAACCACCUCUACCCCAUCAUAUCAACCCAUUUACAUUUACAACGAGAGCUGAAAAGAUCAGUUCGCUGAAUGGAGACAGCACUGAGUACUCGUUUAGUUACACCAAAGACCUAGGCAGUGACAGUUCUGUCGUGCAUAAACUCAAAAAUCCACAUAGUUUGGACAAGUCUGUGUCGGAAGUUUCUGGGCUAAGGCAGCAGAAUGGGAGAGAUGACAUUCCACGACUGAUACAAGGAUCCCUGUUGUCAGCGACUUGUCAGUCUAUAGAGAGUAAGGGCAAAUGUGUGAAUGGGCGGACGACAUUAAACCACAGUGACACAUCCCAGAGUAACCAGAAUAUGCCAAAUCCCUUCAACAUGAGACUUCAGAAUUUAUCCAAUUUUCCUUUGGCAACCAAUAUUUACAGAUCAGCUUACAGGUCCCAUUCUGUGGCAGUCCAGAGGGCAAAAGCUGGGUCUAUCACCAGCGCAGCCAAAUCACUGGAUCUUCUUCGACAAAACAUCCAAAAGAGUAUUAACAAAGAACUAGAUCAGGUUGUCCAGAGAUACGUUGAGAAAUUUUUCCAUCCAGCUGCAGCUAACAUUCGUUUGAACAAUGGUUCAAAUGCAGUCAGUGAAGAGCACAUUCAUGCAGUGUGCAAACAGAUAUUUGAAGAAGCCAAAAAGAUGUACACCUCAGAGGCCAGGCGGAGCGCAACACCUAUUGUAGACGUUCCAGAUCAUGUCUCUGAGCCAAUUAGUAUCACCGACAAAAGAAUUUCACCUCUCUUGAAAAAACACAAAGUUUCUGACAGUGAAUCUGAGAAGGGAAGUGACAGUGGUAUACCGAAAAAGAUACCCAAGAGAAAAGGUCGUCCACCCCUCCACGCAUCAGGGAGAAGUACACCACUCAAACUCAUCAGAUCGGACCAGGUAAAACGAGAAGGGCCAAAGUGGGAUCCUGAGCGUAUCAAGUCAGAUACACUGUUUGUGAUGGGAGCCAGAGCGAACAAGGCACUAGGUCUUGGAAAUACAAGGGGCCGACUUUAUAUUCGACAUCCUGACAUUUUUAAGUACUCUGGAGACCAAGAUGACAAGGUGUGGUUACAUGAACAAAAGCUGAUGCCAGCCACAGGAGGCAAGGCUUACAUGCUUCUGGUGGAAGACAUCAUAGACCUUAGUAAAACAGAGGAAUACCGGGAAAGCCCAACAUUGAUGAUGCAUGAGUGUCGAGGAUUCUGCAUUCCAGAGUGGAUGUUAGUCAAGGUGAAGGAGCAGAUGCAGGCACUUCGUUCAGACCGUGGCAAGCGCAGCCGCUCGCAUUCACCGGGCCCCCUCUCAGAGCGACCAGAUCCUCCAAGAAGUCUGCCAUUUUCAACACUGUAUGACACUGCUUCAAAUAAUGAUGGAGACAGUAACAAAAAUAGUCUACAGCCAUCUCCAACAGAUACAGAAGAAAUGGAGUUUCUGUCAGCAGCUGACAAUGAUGAUACACAGCCAUCAGAUAUUUCUCCGUUUAAUGUUGCCAGUGGUCUCGAUGAUGCAGCAUCUCCAUCAUCUUGUCAUCUAGACCCAGUUGAGGAAGAGCCCCAAGUUUCUAGCACAUUUACUUAGGUUUCUGGUGAGAUUGAAGUGGCGUUAAAAGAAAGUAUGCGUGAUAUCUGCCAGCCUAUCAGUUUCUGGGUCAGAACAAGAUUUCUUUAAAAAAAAAAAAGCAACUGAAAUCAGCAGGUGUUUUAAUCGAACUUGGAGAUUGAUUGCAGCAUAGAGGAACAAAUAUGGUGCACACCUUGUCUUGGAGUCCAGCUGACACAGCUGCAUGAAGCCAAGUGAACUGAAUGUUAAUAUUAAAACUGUCAAAAAUAACCCGGUGCAGAGCAGCUACUAAAGACAAACACAAGUAUUGAGAUAAGUGGGUUAAAAGAAAAAUAUAUCUAUUGCAUUGCUUCAUGAAAUGUAAGAAGCAAUGCAGUUAAUUCUCUUAUAUGUGUUUUUUUUAAGUUGUUGUAAUGAAGAUAUAAUUCCAACAGACAUGAUUAAUUACGAGGCAUACCAUGCAGCACACAGGCCAGUAUUCAGCAGAGGUCAUGGUUGUAUCUUUGAUCUCAAACAUUUGCUCAUUUGCUUUAAUGGAGUUGACAUUGACCAGAACUCCAAAAAGCUUACUGAAUGCUUUAUGAAUCAAGAUGGUGGAAGAAGUGAACUUCACCAUGCCUGUGGAAACAGUUCAUCAGUACAUCAAUGGGAGGCACAUCAUUGACUAGGUAGGAACAUGCAUAAAAAUGUCUCAAAAGUCUGUGUCUAUAUCAGCCUUGCCUUUCCUAUUUUUGCAUUUGUUUCAUGAUUACAAAAUGGUUAAUAGAAUAAAUCCACACAACAGUUCCUUUCAAAUAAUAAAGCAGCAGUCUUGUAACAAAACAUUUUACAUUUAUAGCCAUUUUAUUUUCCCAAUACAAUAUCUCCUUUGCUGCAAGCCACAAUAUUUUAAAUCGUAUUUAGUAUUGUUGUGCUAGCUGUUACUAUUGUGAUAUUUUAACUUGAUAUGUAACAUAUAUAAGAAAAAUUGGCAUCUGUUUUCUGGCCUAAGAUUAAAGAAAUCAUCAUUGUCAUCAGUCUAAGCAGGCAACCAGUCUAGAAGGUUGUGAAGGGCAGAAGGAAUAUGUGUCCAGUUAUAUUUCUCUUGCUGCGGCCCUAUGCUCCUCGAGGAGUAACAAGGAAUAAACUAAAACUAUAUUUCUCUGUAAUUUUGUAGAUUUCUGAUUUGAAGGUUUAGAAUUUUUAUAGUUGAUUUUCUCAGAUUUUUUUUUCAGCAUCCAUCGUUGAACUUGAGUUGUAGUUAUGUUUUAUUCAGAUAUUUUUAAUGUUUUUAUCACUGUUGUAUUCUGAAGUACUUUUGUGUCUUACACUUCAACAUCUUUUUUGCGUUUCUGCACAGUUUUGGGUCUACCUUUUGAUGUGCAUCAGCUCUUUCCUUGAUCAUCUUGGGAUGGCAGCAAAUGUAAAUGAAUCUAUCACUGUAUGCCUCAGUCAACUUCAGAAAGCCUUCAGUCAGCUUAAAAUGAUGUCUUUAAGACCAGCUUGCCCUACAAAAUCCAUCUUGCAAAGUGCAUUCGUAGGUAGAAAAAGAAUAGACAGGCGGAGAGAGACUGUAGGACAUCAUUAAGGAAUGGACAAGCUUGUCAAUUUUGAACUCCCCAAAGGGCAAAAUAAGAUUAAGUUAUUGGCAAAAACUGCCGGAAAUUCAACAAGCAAUCUGGUCGUGUUUGACUGCUGGAAGCACAGGCAUUUACUUUGGUAUGAAUUGUUUGUUAGAACAAUUUUAAUGUCAACAAGCAUUAUCUUUACUUGAAAGAUAGUUAUCGCUUGUCAAUUUAAGUCAUUGAUAUGGCAUUAAUAUUUAUUAAUUAUAAGGAAUUUUUUUUUUUGUUUUCGGUGCAAGUUGCUUAGAGUUUCUAUGUUCAUUAUUACCAUUGCCUCAGCUGCUAAAUCUUUUUGUAUGGAUCAUUAGAAACAGCGACGCUGAGAGGAAAUUACCUUGGUCAGACACUAAAGUCGUAUUUUGAAAGGAAUCCAUUAUAUCUGUUGUGGACAUCUUGUGUCCAGCAGUUUAUAUUUAAAGGUAGUCUUGUAAUAUUAGCAGAAAGUUGUUACCUGCAUUGCUAUGUUGUCUAGGGAAAAUACUGAAAAAAGUGAACAGUUUUCUUACGAGUUGUUGAUAGGGAAACAAGAUUAAGAUCAAGGAAUGAUUAGAAAACUUUUUAUUUUUCAUUGGCUUUCAGUAGUGCCAGCUUUAUCUGAUCAUUCUGAUUAAACUGUUUGUAUUUGCUUGCAUCCAUGAAAUUGUUUCAGCAUAAAAUUCCAAGUUUCAUGCCAUUUUGCGAUAUCUGUAUAUCUGAAUGGCUAUUCUUAUUUUUUUCUAGAGAUUCGCUAAAAAUUUCAUGAAGAGAUCUCAGAUUUUUUAAAAGUAUUUUAUAGUAUUUAUGAAAUCUUGAGAAAUUGUCAAUAGGCGUAAUAACCAGCAGUUUAAAGUUAGAGAGAUAGUGUGUGUGUGUGUGUGCAAAGACGUGUUUGUGCAAUAGGCGUAAUAACUAGCAGUUUAAAGUUAGAGAGAGAGAGUGUGUGUGUGUGCAAAGACAUGUUUGUGCUUAUACUGAUUGAUUUUUAUUUGUGGAAAAAGCUCCACAAAAAACUUUUUAUUCCAAUAUUUGGUUGGUUAACUGUAUUAGUACUCUGUAAAUGAAACCCAGCUAAGUGGCAAGCUACCUUCCAUUGUUUUAUCAUUGCUCCAUACAACACUGUUGUCAUGAAAGGGGGCAAUGAAUGUUUGUACCAUGAAGGAAGAGCAGUCCAUCCAUCUAUUCAUUUUAGCCAGUCACAGAUAAAAUCAUUAUUAGGCUGAGGAAUAGAGUACAAUUGAGGACAGCUUGUUAAUAUGUUGAAAAUUAAACUAGACCUCCUGCAUGUUGACCAGGAGGACACCCACAUUUUACACUCUGUGAACCUGCAGCAUGAGCAGGAAACAAGUAGUAACAAAUCUGCUGGAUUAAGGUCAGCAGUGAAAAAUAUGGGCUUGUAGAAAAGGAUAUAAAAUUGCUUCGGUCUUAUAUACUAAGCCUGUUACUUGGCCACAGUGUGCAUCAUUCUGGUUUGACUAAUAUGUAUUACAUGUAGCUUUAUUGAUGUCAUGAUUCAGUGUUGUUUUGGGGAGGGAGGUUUUGUCUGGCUAUGCAUAAAACCCAUGACAGCCUACCUCGGUACACACCUUGCUUACUUUUGAGCUCGAGCUAUUUAUUAUAUCUAUGGAUAUGCUAAACUUUAAGGUAACUUCAUUGAAAUGCCUUUGUUUCCUUUAUGUUGUUGUCUUGACUGCCAUGGUUUUUCUACCUUAAGUUUUGAUUUGUAGAAGGCAUUGCUGUUAAACAGGGUUAACCGUAAAUGAUUCAUUUGGAAUAUUUUGCUGAACAGUUAAUUAUAUUUUUCUGCCUUUUUAAUUUUUUCAUGAGCGUUCAAGUGAUUUUUUUUUUACAUUAAGAUGCAACUUAAUAGCUUUUUCAUUUUAAAAUCUUAGACAAAUAUUUACCACAAAUUUUUCUUAUUAUCAUGGCAAUGCACUCCUAUGCCCCUAAUUAAUUGGUAAGAAAGAGAAAGAAAACCAAUACAGUAAUGUACAACAGAUACUUUCUUAAAAUAUGACAGUGCAGGAUAUAAAUGCAUAAUUUACUAUACUCUUGUUGAGUUGUCUCUCAUUACGGCUGUUCAGUGUUUCAAACUUAGAGCAGAUACAUGUUUUUAUAAACUGUUUGCACUUGCAAAAGAGAAGUUCUUAAAUGGUUGUAAAAACUGCAUGCCUUCUUGUAUAUUGCUGCUUGCAAGACUUGGGCAAGUGUGAGGUUUGAAGCACAUUAUUGAAGUAAAGGAAACAUAAUUUAUGUCAUAUUUAAAAAAAUAAUUAUUUCAUUUUAUUAAUAUAUAACAAGGAGAGUCGGCGGGGGGUUGACAAGAUUUUAGAUCAAUAGUGAAUAGUGAAACAUUAUUUUGGAUGAAAAUUUAAAAAAAAAAAUUUAUGGGCAUGAAUGUAAUAGUCUUUUGCUAGAAUUUCAAUAAUAAUCAUCAUGAUGAUGAUAGCCACUACAUUAGUUUCAUUUCAUAGAGACUAGUUCACAAUCCAAGUCAAAUACAGAGACAUAGCAAAGACUUGUAUUAUUACAUUAUAUGCUGAUAUGCUCUUCUUUAAAUUGGAAGCAUCCAUUUCAGCUUAGUGAUUGAUUACACUGUUGUCUGCUCUGUCAUGUUGCAUGUACAAUGAUUCUUUUAAACUUGAAGGGGGUUAAGAUUUUUUUUUUUUUUAAGUAUGCAUGAAAGCAUUUUAAUUCUGUAGUAUGAUCUACUUCUAAAAUAUGUUUGCACUUGGCUGAAGCAUCAGUUUUACUUAGACAUUAUAGUACAGCAUUGUCAUAUUUUUUUUAAACAUUUGAAAUCUGUGCUGAUGGUAUGUUGGUGAAAUUAUUUUGCUGAAGUUCUUUCUGUGGGAUAAAGCUUAACAUUACUGUAACUUCUGAACUGCUCUAUACCCAUGCUUGAUUCAGUCCUUCUUGUUGUAAACCUUAUAUAUUUUAAGUAUAAAUAGAAAAUUGUAAAAACUUUAAAAAUAUUUAAAACAAUUUCUACUCUGUUCUUUUGUCAGUACUAAAUUUAAUUACAUCUCCUUAAAUUUAACAAAAAUGGCAAACACUUGUCACAGACUUUUCGUUAAAUAUAAUGUUUCUCAUAGCACAUGAUAAUGUGUUGGCAUUGUGUUCAUAAAAUUCCACUCUGUUUAUGUGAUAAGCCUCUUAUUCAACCAGAGACAAGUCACAGUCUUAGUGUUCAUGGAUAAUGAUACAUGUAAAUGUAGAUGUACAAGUUUUUUUAAAAUCUGUGUUGCUUCGUUUCAUUUUCUUUAAAAUUUACUAUAGUUUAAUCAAAUUUACCAAAAAAAAUGUCAACAUAUUUUGACCUCAUGCUUCUGUACAAGUAGCCUUGUUCCCAGGUUUAACAAUUCAAAAGUGUAUGCUGCAUUGCUGUUUAAAAGCAUAAGUUUUUCUUAAUGUUGAAAUGAAAGCUUUUUUCCCACGAAUUAACAAGUGGAGACUGUGGAGAAAAUAACAAUAGUCUUGUCAUAUAUUUUGUAAAACAAGGCUUUGGUCAAGUUUAUGCAUGCGUUGUCAGGAGUACAGGCAAAUGAAUGGAUGGACAGAAGUUAUUGUGCAGACAUGUAUGAAUGCAAACAUGCAUAGAUGGGCACAGAUGUGUGUAUCUGUGCAAUCAAAAUAGUUUGUUGUGGAUGGGAUAGGUUUUGCAGAAAUUGGUCUAAGUUUUAACUCUAUUCAGUUGAUUAUUUAUAUUUAAAAAACAUAAUUUACUCAGUGGUUUAGCAAGACUUUAUGAACUGUAAAGUGUAAACUACACUUGACUGUGUAGUAAAUGGCAACUUGUGACCACCAUUAUGUUUUAUGGAAAAUUUGUUUGUUGACACAUACCUCCAUCUUCCAUGCUACAUUGCUUUAAGCUAUGAGCAAAAUGACAGAGUGUUGCAAAAAACACCAUGGGACAGUUGUUCAAGAUUAAAGUUUGUUUUGUUGGCAUGAUACAGUUGAAUCAUUUUGAGAGUUACUGUUAAACUGUGAAUAAAAUUUUAAGUCAUUAAAAGAAUCAUUAAAAUUGUAAAAAAAAAAUGCAUCCUCUCAAAUAUGUUAUACCCCUUUCCCUCCUUCCAGAAUUUCUUUGCUGUUGAUGUUUCAAUAUUCUAGGGAAUAAAUUUUUCAACUGUGAA
Pomacea canaliculata is the source of this 9560-nucleotide RNA transcript. RefSeq lists it as uncharacterized. The record is from RefSeq and is a predicted model, not a curated record. NCBI's taxonomy places the organism in Eukaryota, Metazoa, Mollusca, Gastropoda, Architaenioglossa, Ampullariidae. The transcript is spliced from 17 exons.